UACGUAGGGUGCAAGCGUUGUCCGGAUUUAUUGGGCGUAAAGAGCUCGUAGGCGGUUUGUUACGUCGGAUGUGAAAUCCUGGAGCUUAACUCCGGGCCUGCAUUCGAUACGGGCAGACUCGAGUGUUGUAGGGGAGACUGGAACUCCUGGUGUAGCGGUGAAAUGCGCAGAUAUCAGGAAGAACACCGAUGGCGAAGGCAGGUCUCUGGGCAACUACUGACGCUGAGGAGCGAAAGCGUGGGGAGCAAACAGG
This 253-nucleotide ribosomal RNA is filed under the name uncultured bacterium. Its description in RNAcentral is "partial 16S ribosomal RNA". It matches the Rfam family "Bacterial small subunit ribosomal RNA", at positions 524 to 776 of the family's 1533-position model. The record is from RNAcentral. RNAcentral also lists the same sequence under 1 other name.